Molecule: long non-coding RNA, 1631 nt
Organism: Prosopis cineraria
Lineage: Eukaryota; Viridiplantae; Streptophyta; Magnoliopsida; Fabales; Fabaceae
Exons: 4
Source: RefSeq, a predicted model, not a curated record
ACCAAAGAAAAAAUACACCACAUGUCAGAUUUUUUCCUCUCCCUCUUGCCAUUUUUCAUUCCGUGCUCGCACCAGCAAAAUGGAAAGAGAGGGCUUGAAAAAAAACAUAAUAAUAGAAAACCCUACUGUGCAAUUCUUCAUCUCUUCCAUCGCCGGUGUGAGAGAGAGGGAUGAUGAGUGAUUUUUCCUUGCUGCCGCUGCUGUAGGUGACGGUGCUGUCGAACCUUCUUAUUUUUGUGUCUCUGUUUGCAAGCAAUGGAUGAGAGGGUGCACGACUGAUUCUGUUUCAAUCAGCCACCUCCACGUGUUCCUCCUCUUCUUGUUGCCGGUGAGUGGUGUAGUGAGGAGUUAGGUUCGUUGCUGUUGAAGGCUCUGUUGGGAUUGGCAGGCUCAUCUUCCUCAUCCCCUGUUUUCUUCGCUGUGAGAAUCGUGGUCUUCUCUGAUCUCCUCCUCCUCUACUACUUCAUCCUCAUGUAGUGGUGUACUUCUCUUAACCUUACUGUGGGUCUAGUAUCAAGGCGAGCCACUCAAGCAUCGAAAGGAGAAGAAAAAGAAGAGUUAAAGUUGCUGUGUCAUACACCGUGGCACGUAGAUCAUCCGCCACGGUGCACAGCCAUCUCUGAGUGAGGGAAGACCUCUCUGUACCAUGUGUCGUGGCACGUUGUGCAUCCACCGCGGCACAUAGCAUUUUCUGUACUUUAUUAUACGUUAAUUAAGACAGAAAAAGAAAGAAGAGAAAAGAGAUAAAGAAUAGGCGCAUCUAAGCUCUGCUAAGGUUUGCUUAGGGAUUACUUUGAGAGUAUUUUGAAGGCUACAAAUAUCCAAGGUAAGUAUCAUUCCCAUUAAUCUUUCCUUUUCUUCCACAUUUAUGAGUUUGUGGUUAAGGUAUGAUAGUUGAAGUAGAAUUUCGGUCCAUAUAGGUUAUGGGUCUAAAUUUGUUGACUCAAAUAGAGUUAAUAGGGGUAGAUUAGAGUAUUAAACCUAGAUAUGAUGAGUAUUGGUGUCUUGGGUUGUUGGGCACCAUAAAUACCCAAAAAUCCCAUUUAUUAUGGUGGUUGAAAGUUUGUGAUGCCAUUAAUGGAAAUUUAAUGGCUCAUUAAUGCUAUUGGGAGCUAAAGGUAACUAUUAAACCUAAUGGUUAGGCUCCAUCUCAUGUAAAGUGAAGGUUAGGCAAAUUAGAAGUAAAGAUUGAGGGUUUAAUUAAUUGAGUUUGGGUUAUUGAUGGAAUUCAAAUUGAUUGCUUGUAGUUUUGGCUCUUGGUCACCUUUUUGGAGUGAAAAUUCAAGCUUGGAGGCUAGUUAAUUGAGGAGUAAACCUUUGACCUCAAAGGUUUGAGGCUCUAGCAUUGGUGUUGAGAGGGAGAAGACUAAAGAGUUGGGGAAUUAGUACAUUCCUUCCUGUAUGCCUCUGGUUUUAGAUGUAGUUAUGUAAUAGCAUAUGUUUGCCAAUUUUAGGAUGCAUAUUACCCAUACUUGCACUAUUUUGGUUUGGAAAUGUUAUAAUUGUAUUUUGGGCCCUUAGCCUUGGUUUAUGUUGUCAUAUAUAUGUUUAUAAGGCCAAAAUACUAGUGCAAGUAUAGAAAAGAAGAUUUAAACAUGUUUUGAAUGUUUUAGGGUUUAAUGCAAUGCUAU